AGUGAACGCUGGCGGUAUGCCUAACACAUGCAAGUCGAACGGCAGCACAGUAAGAGCUUGCUCUUACGGGUGGCGAGUGGCGGACGGGUGAGGAAUACAUCGGAAUCUACUUUUUCGUGGGGGAUAACGUAGGGAAACUUACGCUAAUACCGCAUACGACCUACGGGUGAAAGCAGGGGAUCUUCGGACCUUGCGCGAUUGAAUGAGCCGAUGUCGGAUUAGCUAGUUGGCGGGGUAAAGGCCCACCAAGGCGACGAUCCGUAGCUGGUCUGAGAGGAUGAUCAGCCACACUGGAACUGAGACACGGUCCAGACUCCUACGGGAGGCAGCAGUGGGGAAUAUUCGACAAUGGGCGCAAGCCUGAUCCAGCCAUACCGCGUGGGUGAAGAAGGCCUUCGGGUUGUAAAGCUCUUUUGUUGGGAAAGAACAGCAGCAGGUUAAUACCCCGCUGUCCUGACGGUACCCAAAGAAUAAGCCCCGGCUAACUUCGUG
This 492-nucleotide ribosomal RNA is filed under the name uncultured bacterium. RNAcentral's name for it is "partial 16S ribosomal RNA". It matches the Rfam family "Bacterial small subunit ribosomal RNA", at positions 29 to 507 of the family's 1533-position model. The record is from RNAcentral.